Haliaeetus leucocephalus (bald eagle) is the source of this 293-nucleotide long non-coding RNA. RefSeq lists it as uncharacterized. The record is from RefSeq and is a predicted model, not a curated record. The transcript has 3 exons. Lineage: Eukaryota; Metazoa; Chordata; Aves; Accipitriformes; Accipitridae.
CCUGGAGAUGAUGGCAACAGGCUGUAACUAUCUUGGAUACAGGAUCCUACCACUUCCUUACCUGGAUGGCUGUGACAAAAUUGGUAAAACAUAAAAGCCUCUUGGAUCCUGCUUAUAGAAUAUCUCUUCCUGCUGGCUGCAAAAGACUUGGACCAGGUCAAACCAUAGACCCUCAAAAGUCCAGAGUAUUGGUCCCUGCACGAAGCGUCUAUACCUUGAGCUGCAGUAUGGUCGUGCUUGAAUUGUUCUGAUACGCAAUGUAGAAGAUGGAGUCGCUCUGCAGGAUAGGCAGU